GACAGAGGCCUCGAGCGUUAGGCGGAAUCACUGGGCUUAAAGCGUGUGUAGGCGGAUCGUUAAGUGUCUUGUGAAAUCCCACGGCUCAACCGUGGAACGGCUGGCAUACUGGCGAUCUUGAGCAGCCUAGGGGCGACCGGAACAAACGGUGGAGCGGAUGAAUGCGUAGAUAUCGUUGAACGCCGAUGGUGAAACAGGUCGCUGGGGCUCGCUGACGCUGAGACACGAAAGCCAGGGGAGCAAACGGG
This 248-nucleotide ribosomal RNA is filed under the name uncultured bacterium. RNAcentral describes it as "partial 16S ribosomal RNA". It matches the Rfam family "Bacterial small subunit ribosomal RNA", at positions 524 to 776 of the family's 1533-position model. The record is from RNAcentral.